Metopolophium dirhodum (rose-grain aphid) is the source of this 1100-nucleotide long non-coding RNA. RefSeq lists it as uncharacterized. NCBI's taxonomy places the organism in Eukaryota, Metazoa, Arthropoda, Insecta, Hemiptera, Aphididae. The record is from RefSeq and is a predicted model, not a curated record. The transcript is spliced from 2 exons.
GUAGAAAAUGUCUUAAAUUUAUAUAUUAUAACAUGCGCCCAUAUAUUAGUACAGGCCAUAUAUAGUAUUAUCAGCUUAAUAAAGUAAACGCACAAACUAUACAUCGUUCGUCGAAAAAAUUAAGGCACACUGCUACCUCUUUGCACGGUACCGCGAAGAGUAUAGUUAUCGCUGUCCAGCCGACUUUUUAGAUCAAACUCGUACCUUAUAAUGAAUUAGGGUUUCUUUUUUUCUGGCUAUAUAUGCGGUGCGAUAACUUUUGUUACGGGCGAAGAGGGUAUAAUAUUGUAUAGUCGUGGCGUUUAUAGAAAGACCGUUGCUACUGAAUCCGUCUCGUAUCUUAAUUUCACACGGCCCGCGGCAGCGGAGAUUUAGAAACACGCAACAACAGUCUCUUAUUUAAUAAUAAUAUAGACAAAGCAGUGACGAAGAAUGCCUGUGUAUAUACACAAAAAGAACCCCCCCGAGAACGACGUGGCCGUUGUUGGCAAACAGAGUCCGUAACUGACCUCUGGGCGUCCAGGUGCAACGCCACUUGCAGGGGGCCUCAUUGUUCGGUCCUCGUCGUGAGUGUACCUACCUACAUUAAUUAUUAAACGUGCGCACGCCGCGUAAAACAAUGGACAACCGGAUUUUAGGACCACGCCGGGCGAUAUUUACCCAACAAAGGGGGUUAUCUUGUCCGUCAGUCGUCGCUGGGACAGAGCCGUCGUCGCAUCGGAUCGGGUUGAUGGUGGACAAGAGAAUAUUUCAAAAGGCUCUAGGCGUCGCAGUUCACGAAAUAGAGGUUAAAAUCGGAAGCCAACAUUCGAAAUUGAUUCGCUUGGGUUUUUAUUUACACUCGAUGAAGACGCAUUCAUUUUUUGGAGUCACUACAAAUACAAUACAAUAUUGUCCGGAAAAAUAACAUAACUGAAUCGAAACAAUUUAUUCCGAUAUGUUUAGUUCGGUUAAAAUGGGAAAAUGUUUUAAUUAAAACACAGUUCAACGUUCAACGAGUAAAAGUUUGUUUCUCGUGGAAAUUUGCUAUGUAUAAUAAGUAUGUAUAAAAUAAGUACUAUGUAUUUUUGUUUGGAAAUAUAUUUUACUUUUUCGUUCAA